GAUGAGCGCUGGCGGCGUGCCUAAUACAUGCAAGUCGAGCGAACGGACGAGAAGCUUGCUUCUCUGAUGUUAGCGGCGGACGGGUGAGUAACACGUGGAUAACCUACCUAUAAGACUGGGAUAACUUCGGGAAACCGGAGCUAAUACCGGAUAAUAUUUUGAACCGCAUGGUUCAAAAGUGAAAGACGGUCUUGCUGUCACUUAUAGAUGGAUCCGCGCUGCAUUAGCUAGUUGGUAAGGUAACGGCUUACCAAGGCAACGAUGCAUAGCCGACCUGGGAGGGUGAUCGGCCACACUGGAGCUGAGACACGGUCCAGACUCCUACGGGAGGCAGCAGUAGGGAAUCUUCCGCAAUGGGCGAAAGCCUGACGGAGCAACGCCGCGUGAGUGAUGAAGGUCUUCGGAUCGUAAAACUCUGUUAUUAGGGAAGAACAUAUGUGUAAGUAACUGUGCACAUCUUGACGGUACCUAAUCAGAAAGCCACGGCUAACUACGUG
RNAcentral lists this ribosomal RNA (497 nucleotides) under uncultured bacterium. RNAcentral's name for it is "partial 16S ribosomal RNA". It matches the Rfam family "Bacterial small subunit ribosomal RNA", at positions 28 to 507 of the family's 1533-position model. The record is from RNAcentral.